UAUAGAAUGCGCAACGUUGGUAGAGCACGACCUUGCCAAGGUCGGGGUCGCGAGUUCGAGUCUCGUUUCCCGCUCCA
This 77-nucleotide transfer RNA is filed under the name Pseudomonas protegens. RNAcentral's name for it is "tRNA-Gly". The record is from RNAcentral. Lineage: Bacteria; Pseudomonadati; Pseudomonadota; Gammaproteobacteria; Pseudomonadales; Pseudomonadaceae.